AUAAAAAAGCAGCAAAUGCAUACAAUGACAUGACAUAAGGACUAAUAAUAGCCCUGAACUACUACGUAGAAUAACAAACUCGCGAUUUGGUGCUCUGACGAACCAGUAAAAAUCUUACCUUUAAGGGAGCCUCCAACUCCAACAGCAUAGGCUGACUCAAAAAAAUAGAACGAGAAGUAGUACAUAGGUAUCUAAUUUCUGCAUCAGAUAACUGAACCUGCUUACUAGGUUUGCCAUUACGGGCUAAGAUACGAGGUUAGUUUCAAAUGUCAAUCAUUCAAUCAUUAUCGUGUGUACAAACCUUUUACAAGUUUUUCAAUAAUCGCAUCAAUAUCAUAAUCCAUAAUUUUUUCCUCGAAACUCCUCAAAAAUGAGAUAAGAUGGAGAACCCACUUGGAUUGCGGUAGUUGGCUUGUGUUUGGUACAUCCAAAAUUAUAGCAGUAUCUUUAUCGCAGUACCUGUAAAUUAGGGCGAGCACAACGCCUUCCAAUGUCGUUCAUCUUUUUCAAAUUUUGCUUUUAUCUCAAUUUCAUAGUCUUUAGUUAUUUCUAUUAGUUCCUUUCAGCUAGUUUAC
Non-coding RNA from Schizosaccharomyces pombe (fission yeast), 575 nucleotides. Lineage: Eukaryota; Fungi; Ascomycota; Schizosaccharomycetes; Schizosaccharomycetales; Schizosaccharomycetaceae. The record is from the annotation of a GenBank genome assembly.